AUUGAACGCUGGCGGCAUGCCUAACACAUGCAAGUCGAACGGCAGCACAGUGCGUAGCAAUACGUAUGGGUGGCGAGUGGCGGACGGGUGAGGAAUGCAUCGGAAUCUACCCAGUAGCGGGGGAUAACCUGGGGAAACUCAGGCUAAUACCGCAUACGACCUAUGGGUGAAAGCGGGGGACCGUAAGGCCUCGCACUAUUGGAUCGAGCCGAUGCCGGAUUAGCUAGUUGGUAGGUAACGGCCUACCAAGGCGACGAUCCGUAGCUGGUCUGAGAGGACGAUCAGCCACACCGGAACUGAGACACGGUCCGGACUCCUACGGGAGGCAGCAGUGGGGAAUAUU
This 343-nucleotide ribosomal RNA is filed under the name uncultured bacterium. RNAcentral describes it as "bacterial SSU rRNA". It matches the Rfam family "Bacterial small subunit ribosomal RNA", at positions 30 to 365 of the family's 1533-position model. The record is from RNAcentral.